Molecule: ribosomal RNA, 303 nt
Filed under: uncultured bacterium
Lineage: Bacteria
Description: partial 16S ribosomal RNA
Rfam family: Bacterial small subunit ribosomal RNA
Source: RNAcentral
AGCAGUCGCCGCGGUAAAACGUAGGUGGCAAGCGUUGUCCGGAAUUAUUGGGCGUAAAGGGCUCGCAGGCGGUUUCUUAAGUCUGAUGUGAAAGCCCCUGGCUCAACCGGGGAGGGUCAUUGGAAACUGGGAAACUUGAGUGCAGAAGAGGAGAGUGGAAUUCCACGUGUAGCGGUGAAAUGCGUAGAGAUGUGGAGGAACACCAGUGGCGAAGGCGACUCUCUGUUCUGUAACUGACGCGGAGGAGCGAAAGCGUGGGGAGCGAACAGGAUUAGAUACCCCAGUAGUCCCUGUCUCUUAUAA